UACGGAGGGGGCUAGCGUUGUUCGGAAUUACUGGGCGUAAAGGGCGCGUAGGCGGCCUUCUAAGUCGAACGUGAAAUCCCUGGGCUCAACCCAGGAACUGCGUCCGAUACUGGAAGGCUUGAAUCCGGGAGAGGGAUGCGGAAUUCCAGGUGUAGCGGUGAAAUGCGUAGAUAUCUGGAGGAACACCGGUGGCGAAGGCGGCAUCCUGGACCGGUAUUGACGCUGAGGCGCGAAAGCCAGGGGAGCAAACGGG
RNAcentral lists this ribosomal RNA (253 nucleotides) under uncultured bacterium. RNAcentral describes it as "partial 16S ribosomal RNA". It matches the Rfam family "Bacterial small subunit ribosomal RNA", at positions 524 to 776 of the family's 1533-position model. The record is from RNAcentral.